AAGCGGUGGAUGAUGUGGUUUAAUUCGAUGCAACGCGAAAACUUACCCACCUUGACAUGUACGGAAGCCUUUAGAGAUAGAGGCGUGCUCGAAAGAGGGCCGUAACACAGGUGCUGCAUGGCUGUCGUCAGCUCGUGUCGUGAGAUGUUGGGUUAAGUCCCGCAACGAGCGCAACCCUUGUCAUUAGUUGCUACAUUCAGUUGGGCACUCUAAUGAGACUGCCGGUGACAAGCCGGAGGAAGGUGGGGAUGACGUCAAGUCCUCAUGGCCCUUAUAGGUGGGGCUACACACGUCAUACAAUGGCUGGUACAAAGGGUUGCCAACCCGCGAGGGGGAGCUAAUCCCAUAAAGCCAGUCGUAGUCCGGAUCGUAGUCUGCAACUCGACUACGUGAAGUCGGAAUCGCUAGUAAUCGUGGAUCAGAAUGUCACGGUGAAUACGUUCCCGGGUCUU
RNAcentral lists this ribosomal RNA (452 nucleotides) under uncultured Rhodoferax sp. RNAcentral's name for it is "bacterial SSU rRNA". It matches the Rfam family "Bacterial small subunit ribosomal RNA", at positions 927 to 1382 of the family's 1533-position model. The record is from RNAcentral. Lineage: Bacteria; Pseudomonadati; Pseudomonadota; Betaproteobacteria; Burkholderiales; Comamonadaceae.